CGCGAAUGGCUCAUUAAAUCAGUUAUGGUUCCUUAGAGCUCCUGAUCCUACAUGGAUAACUGUAGUAAUUCUAGAGCUAAUACAUGCAACUAAGCUCCGACCUUCGGGGACGAGCGCACUUAUUAGACCAUGAUCAACCGGGGGCAACCCCGAACGACUGGUGACUCUGGAUAAACUACCGCGGAUCGCAUGGCCUCGAGCUGGCGAUUCAUCUUACAACUGUCUGACCUAUCAACUAGAAGGUAGAGUAUAUGUCUACCUUGGUGAUGACGGGUAACGGGGAAUCAGGGUUCGAUUCCGGAGAGGGAGCAUGAGAAACGGCUACCACAUCCAAGGAAGGCAGCAGGCACGCAAAUUACCCACUCCUGGCAAGGGGAGGUAGUGACGAAAAAUAACAAUACGGGACUCUUUCGAGGCCCCGUAAUUGGAAUGAGUACGAUGUAAAAUCCCUAACGAGGAACUAAUGGAGGGCAAGUCUGGUGCCAGCAGCCGCGGUAAUUCCAGCUCCAUUAGCGUAUAUUAAAGCUGUUGCAGUUAAAAAGCUCGUAGUUGGAUCUGGGGAGCAGGCUGGCGGGACCGCUUCACUGCGGAACUGCCUGUCCUGCCCUUUGCGCCGGGCUUCACAACAUGCGGGUUGCUCUUCGAUGAGUGUCUCCGCGUGGCCCGGUACUCUUACUUUGAAAAAAUUAGAGUGCUCUAAGCAGGCGGACACGCCUGAAUAAUGUUGCAUGGAAUAAUGGAACAGGACCUCGGUUCUGUGAAGUUGGUCGUCAGAACUGAAGUAAUGAUCAAUAGGGGCUGACGGGGGCAUCCGUAUUACGGGGCGAGAGGUGAAAUUCUAUGACCCUCGUAAGACGCCCAAAAGCGAAAGCAUUUGCCAAGAAUGCCUUCAUUAAUCAAGAACGAAAGUCAGAGGAUCGAAGACGAUCAAAUACCGUCGUAGUUCUGACCGUAAACGCUGGCGUCUGGUGAUUGUCAGGCGUGGGUCUAACGACCCUGACAGCAACCCCUCGGGAA
RNAcentral lists this ribosomal RNA (1017 nucleotides) under Laonice sp. D GT-2019. RNAcentral's name for it is "SSU rRNA". It matches the Rfam family "Eukaryotic small subunit ribosomal RNA", at positions 88 to 1097 of the family's 1831-position model. Lineage: Eukaryota; Metazoa; Annelida; Polychaeta; Spionida; Spionidae. The record is from RNAcentral.